Long non-coding RNA from Hyla sarda, 541 nucleotides. RefSeq lists it as uncharacterized. NCBI's taxonomy places the organism in Eukaryota, Metazoa, Chordata, Amphibia, Anura, Hylidae. The transcript has 3 exons. The record is from RefSeq and is a predicted model, not a curated record.
UAUAAACCAUAGACCAGCAGGGUGCACUACCUGAAGGCAUGGAAAUGAUGGUAAUCUGUAUUUUAACCCUGUGUGAACUUCCUCAUAGCACUGUGACCUCUGUCUUCUGCAGCACAAGGCAACAUAAUAUGGGAACACAUCACCUCACCUCAAUGUACCGGCUUUAGAUGAGAAGGCGCACCUAAGCCAAAGCUGUCCAAAACAGAUAUAUCAUCUAGGUCAAAUUGCCAGAAUCCCUUCUCUACCAAGUUUAUGAGAGUAUAAAAAAGGGUGGCUUCUUCCUCUUCUAUUAUUCCCAGGCUCAUUUCAGUGUCAGGUAAUGUCAAUGUGAAUACUGUUACUAGUUACUAAUUUUCGUGAAAACUACAGGAAAUUCAUUGUCCAGGAGAUCGGGUGAAACUGCUUCCAAAAGGUAAAGAAACCACAAUGCAGUCCAAAACACAAUAAAAAAAAAAAGCCCAUAAAGGUGGGGUUGGGACCCAUAGUUGACCACCAAAGAGUCAAAGUUAUUUUCCUCAGGAAAAAUGUGUGUCUGCCAGGA